This is a non-coding RNA of Arachis ipaensis, 318 nucleotides long. NCBI's taxonomy places the organism in Eukaryota, Viridiplantae, Streptophyta, Magnoliopsida, Fabales, Fabaceae. The record is from RefSeq and is a predicted model, not a curated record.
UUGGCCAGGUAAACAUGCUCAACAGAUUCGAGCAUUUAUUUCUCAUAUUGUCCUUUACUUGAUUUCUUCUGGAAAAUUUUCUCAGCUAUAUAGAUAAGGCUGUAUCACUGGAGGGACUAUCUCCUCGGGUACCGCUAUAUAAAGUAACAGAAGGGAACGAACCAUGCUUUUUCACAACAUACUUUCCAUGGGACCAUGCUAAAGCUUCGGUUCAGGGGAACUCUUUCCAGAAAAAGGUGACAUUACUCUUCGGGAUUCGCCAUGCUAUAGAGGAAAAGUCUAAUGGGUCAAGUCAAGGGGGACCAAGACAGAGCUGAA